This 3640-nucleotide long non-coding RNA is filed under the name Solanum tuberosum (potato). Its description in RNAcentral is "long non-coding RNA (STUB_LNC011104)". Lineage: Eukaryota; Viridiplantae; Streptophyta; Magnoliopsida; Solanales; Solanaceae. The record is from RNAcentral.
CGCCUACCAAGUACGAAAAAAUUGGCAAGUACAGUCAAAUGAACCUAUAUAGAUCUAACACGUUUAUUAAAAUAGAAAUAUCAUCAAUAAUUUAACCAAAUAAAUACACAAUUCAUCAAGACCAAUUGAUAUAUAUUCAUAGCUAAAACUUUACUCUACCACCAAAAUCUCUCCAUACCAAUAUUUUCCAAAGUUAAAAGCAGGACAAACUCGGGAUCAGAGCACUAUGACAAGUCUAGUACGAAACACCCCGUUACAUUUUAGCAGACGGGUGGAUGGAUACGAGCCGUUGGAUCAACCAGAAUGUACGGAAGCUUCGAUGCAGAAUGAUGAAGACCGUAGUCAUAGUGUUCGGAGAACAAUUAUGAAAUUAAAGAGGAGUGUAAAACAAAGAAGUAGUCCAAUUAUGUUGAAUUCAAUUAGUUAUAGAAGGGAAAGAGCAAGAAAAAGAAAUAUAUUUUUGCAAAGCUACAAAUUGGAAUCUUCAAAGAAUUUAAGGAACAAGAAAUUGAAGAAAAUUGUUUUAAAAGUGAAAUGUGCUAUGAUUUCUAUUUUUUCUUUUAUGAGGGCUCAUAGUAUAAAAUCUUGUACUAAUUCUAAUUCUGGUAUUGAUGCUGUUUCUCCAGCUAGAGUCAUAAAAUGUUGUUGAUUUUUAUAUAUAUUUUUUUAUAAUUGUUUUGGAUUAGCAAAUAUUCAUAUGUACUAGAACAUUUAUUUGGGUCAAGAUGUAUUAUAUGUGAAUGAUGAAAGAAAAUUUUAAGGCAAACAAACAUCCAAUGUUGUUCAUCUCGAGAAUUUUAAUAGUUCAGUUAAUUAAUUGAUUAUUUAAACUUUCAUCUUGUCGGUGAGAAUUUGAUUUCCGACCCUUAUUUUCUUUUUAAAAAAAAAAGUUCAUUUAAUACGUGUUUCAUAGUUGUGGUUCUACUAGAUAGGGAAGAAAAAAGAGAGAGAAGUUUGAUCUCAUCUUUGACUCUAUUUUCCAUUUUCCAUUUUCCAUUUCCCCUUUCCUCAUCUCCUUUAAUUUUGGGGAAUUCAUAUCAUGACGGUUUAAAGAGGUGGAUUCAGAAUCUAAACGAUAUAAAUUUUCAGAUUAAUUGUGACAUUCCUGACAAAGAAUAGACUAAUAAAAUAUUGAUUAUAAAUACUUGUGUAUUUAUUAUUGUCACUUAUAAAAUAUAAAAAUAUAGCAAAAAUCAUAUUAAUCACUACUAAAUAACCGCCAUAAAAUCCUUUAUUUAUUGUGAUGAAAGCUAAUGGAAACAAUUAAUAACAUGUUAUGUGUAAUUCUAUAAAUAGAAUUGUUUGAUGAAGAGAAUAUAAUAUAAAUAUACACAAAUCUUAUCCUUAUUUUUAGAUUAAAAAGUUAUUUUCCAUAAAUUCUCGAUUCGAAAAGUAAUAAAAGGGAAUCAAUCAAAUUGUGUUGGAGCAUAUAAUUAAGGAAUAAUUAUGAUUACUAUCUUAUAGUUAUCUGCAAAAGAACCAAUUAAGUAUAAAGGUGAAGAGAAUAUGACCUUUUAGUGCCACUGGUUACCAUCAUUAUGCCUAGCUUUCUUAUCUCACUUUCCCACAAUAUUCAGUUCGUUAUCAGUUGCCUACCUGCAAAAUAAUGUGAUAUAAUCCGCUUUGAGUUAUAUUUAUGUUUUUUCUUUAAAAAAAAUACUCUUUUUACUGAUCGAAACAUCAUAAAAUAAGUAAGAAAUUAUUAUUUUUCAGAAAAAUAUUUAAACGAUACUAAAAAUAAAAAUGUAAAGGCACGCUAUUCAUUUUUUAUUUUAAUUAUAAAUUUUGGCCUUUUUAAAUGGUGAUGAACUGUUCCUUUGACUCCAACAGGACCACCCAAAUAGGCAAGAAAUCAGAGCGUGCACUUAACUAGGACAUGAGCAAAUGAUAAUGCUAUGAUCAUGCCGAUGCAUUAUAUAUUUAGAGUCGGUUUGAGUUAGCUGAUUAAGAUAUCUAAAUCUAAACGUAUGAUUAAAAUGUUGUUUUUAAAUCUUAAUGUUGAUAUUCAUAUUAUCCCACUUUGUUGAAUUUGUUUUUCAAUUUCUGAUAUAUAUAUAUAUAUAUUGGUUCAAAUUAUUAGUCGUUUUCUAAAGGCAUAAUACAUAAACAUGACUCUUAACUUGGAUUCAGCAGACAACUAUGCCCUUCAACUUGGAGUGUGCACACGUAGACACUUAAACUUGUAUAAAAUAGAACAAGUAGACACACGUGUCCUAUUGACAUAAUACACGUAAGACCCCACAUACGCAGGGGCGGACACAAGUGUUGUUCAGGGGGUUCACCAGAACCCCCUCGAUAAAAAAUUACACUGUAUAUAUAAGGUGAAUUUUCUGGAUUUAUGUGGAUAUAUAUAUUUUGAACCCCCUCAAUAAUAAGGUGAAGGAGAUAGCACAGUGGCAACUCCCUUCAAUAUUAAGCCUGACGUCCAGGGAUUGAAUCCCUGGGUUAGCGUUUUUUUUUAGUUUUUACUUUCAGUUUUUUUUUUAGUUCCAGUUCCGAUUUUCAUGUUUGUUUAGUUUUUUUUUUAAUAAAAAAGUGCUAAAAAUGUGGUGUUAAAACCCCAAAAAAAUUCAAGGGUCCAUACUCCCAUUCCUAAAAGCUAAUAACUUUUUCACUUUCCAAAUCUCUAAAUAAUUUUCUUGUUCUUCCCCAAUACUCAAAACUCAAAUAUUAAAAUCAUCUCCCAUAAUAUUCUAUUGUUGAUUUGACAUAUUUUAAAGGGCUGACUUUUUGUUUCACUGUAAUCACUUAUGUUAGUUUCGGAUUUCUUGUAACGAAAUUUAACUUUUUGUACCUAUAAACUAUAUACUACUACUUCCUUGAAAUUAUUUUUUGUUGGCUUAUUUACUACACGUUUAUACUUUUAUUUUUCGAACCCCCUGAACGAAAAUUCUGGGUCCACCACUGCACAUACGACACAAAAUUGUCAUGUAGAGUGUCAUGUAGGACGAAUAUGUCCAUUUGUUCAGUUUUAUACAAGUUUAAGUGUCUAUUUGUGCACAUCAAAGUUAAAGGUCAUAAUUGUCACUUGACGCCAAAUUAAGGAUGUUUAUGUAUUAUGCCUUUUCUAAACUUAAAUUAUCAAAUUAUUAUUCUUUUGUCUUAGCCAAAUGCGAAUCACUAUCUUAAAAAAAUUAUCAAAUUAUUAUUCUUUGGAUUGUUUCAAAAUAUUAGUCGUUUUCUAAACUUGAGAUUGCUUUAAAAUAUUUCAUUUUUUAGAAAAUAAAAAAAUUAUUAUUACUUCUUUUUAUCCAAAUUAACUCUUAUUAUUUUUAAUUACUAAAAAUAUGAUAUUUUAGGCAAAAUAGAUCAUAACUUAGACAAGUACUCAUAUAGUACCUUUUUUUAAAAAUUCGUGGUGUCAAUAAGUAUCAAAUAAUUCGAUUCACCAUAGUUAGGACUUGGGACAAAUUAAAAAUAACCUAAUAUUUUUAUCUCGAAAUUAAAGCUUAACAAACACAUAUUUUAUUUAUUAUUAUUAUUAUUAUUAUUUUGGAUAAGUGGAAUGAGUUGCGGGGAUUAACGAACGUGAUAAAAAUUAAUGGCAUAAUGGUUAUGACUUGUGAGCAUAGUGGAGUAGCAGUUAAAAAAGCUGCUUCUAAUAUUUUUCGUUAAUUUCUCUUUUUACCUUUUUUUCCUU